GCUGUGGCCCCACUCCACAAGCCGCAAUUAGAACAGCGAUCCUGAAGGGAGAGCAGAGUCCAUCUGCGACAGACCCUGUGGGCGCUCAGACUGGGGCCGUUUGCACGUCCUGAUGGAGACACACACAUGAGAGGAGGGAAAGGCCCCACCCGCCUGAUACCCAACCAAGUGGGCUCGUCUCCUGAAUGCAGCUCUUUGUGGAAUGAAGGAAGGAAGGAAGGAUAAAGGGAGACACAGUCCACACAGGCACAGACGGAACAGCCUAGCCUCCGCGGUUCCCUCCGUGGGGACUGGCCCCGAACAAGGGACUCACACCCCGUCAGAGAAGCUGUCGGAGCGGGCGCAUGACCCUUCCUGAAGCUCCGUCUGUGGCCUUGACCCUGCACUGGAUACACAUCAUUUCUAAUUCAACCCGAAUCGCACGUAUGGAGGAGCCGGGGAGCCCGGCC
This is a long non-coding RNA of Diceros bicornis minor, 449 nucleotides long. RefSeq lists it as uncharacterized. The transcript has 3 exons. The record is from RefSeq and is a predicted model, not a curated record. Lineage: Eukaryota; Metazoa; Chordata; Mammalia; Perissodactyla; Rhinocerotidae.